GAUGAACGCUGGCGGCGUGCCUAAUGCAUGCAAGUCGAGCGAAUGGAUUAAGAGCUUGCUCUUAUGAAGUUAGCGGCGGACGGGUGAGUAACACGUGGGUAACCUGCCCAUAAGACUGGGAUAACUCCGGGAAACCGGGGCUAAUACCGGAUAACAUUUUGAACCGCAUGGUUCGAAAUUGAAAGGCGGCUUCGGCUGUCACUUAUGGAUGGACCCGCGUCGCAUUAGCUAGUUGGUGAGGUAACGGCUCACCAAGGCAACGAUGCGUAGCCGACCUGAGGGGGGGAUCGGCCACGCUGGGACUGCGACACGGCCCAGACUCCUACGGGAGGCAGCAGUAGGGAAUCUUCCGCAAUGGACGAAAGUCUGACGGAGCAACGCCGCGUGAGUGAUGAGGGCUUUCGGGUCGUAAAACUCUGUUGUUAGGGAGGAACAAGUGCUAGUUGAAUAAGCUGGCACCUUGACGGUACCUAACCAGAAAGCCACGGCUAACUACGUGCCAGCCGCCGCAGUAA
RNAcentral lists this ribosomal RNA (515 nucleotides) under uncultured bacterium. Its description in RNAcentral is "partial 16S ribosomal RNA". It matches the Rfam family "Bacterial small subunit ribosomal RNA", at positions 28 to 523 of the family's 1533-position model. The record is from RNAcentral.